Molecule: non-coding RNA, 28 nt
Filed under: Mus musculus (house mouse)
Lineage: Eukaryota; Metazoa; Chordata; Mammalia; Rodentia; Muridae
Source: RNAcentral
UGAGCCAAACGUGUUCUUCUGGGCAGGA